GUGAGUGUCCAGUCCUGAUCCCAUAUAAGUGAUUCAUACAAGACUUAACAAAAUUGCGUAUUUUCUCUGAUGAUUCAGAUUAAUUCUUACCAUGGGUUGGCAUUUAAUUGUACUAAUAAUUGUUGCAACUUUUGAAACAAUUACUUCUUGACAUGUCUUCACAGCAUUCUUUGUCCAAGAUGUCCCUAUCAAAGAGAUAUUUCUCAUGAGUACAAGAGCCAUACAAUAGACCAUGUUACAAAAAGCAGAGUUUCUCCUCUGAAUUUUUGAUUUCAGCACAUUCCUACCCCAUAUGGGACUUCAGGAAGUCUUUAGGAUUCAUCACUGUCUUUUACUGCCCUUAGUCCGUGAAGUUGAGCCUGAACCUUCAUCUGGACUCAACUCGUUCUCCACCUAUGGAAUCGGAACAUCACCAUUUGUUUCAGAGUUCUACAGCAGAACAUAACAAGAAUAUGAAUGCAGAUUUUCAGAUCUGAAGAGAAAGUCUGGAGGUGGAGAAAGGAGAAAAACUUUGACUUCAUCACACUGCUGUCAGCAAGAAGGAGGGGAAGAAGCUGCUACACUCUUUACAUUUCUGAACUGGGAAAGCGUAUCACUGUGAUCAGAGACACUGUGAUUAUCUCUAUGUAAAGAAAAAAAAUCAACUACAAUAAUCAAAAACAACCACAGCAAUCUCCAUUUCCUUGCAAGGGGAAAGAAGAAGGAGGAAACAGAAGGAGAUCAUAGAAUCACAGAAUUGUAGGGGCUGGAAGGGACUUCUAGAGACCACUGAGUCCAGCCACUCUGAAAAGCAGGCCCCCUACCACAGGCUUCACAGUUGGGCAUCCAGGUGGAUCUUGAAUAACUCCAGAGGAGAAUCUACAACCCCCCCAGGCAGCCUGUUCCAGUGCUCCAUCACCCUUACUGUGAAGAAGUUCAUUUACAUAUUGGUGUGGAUCUUCCUAUGCUUCAGUUUAUGGUUGUUUCCCCUUGUCCUGUCCUCACAGACUGCUGAAAAGAAGUUGGCCAUGUCCCUUUGACUCCCAUCCUUAAGACAGUUAUAAACAUUGAUAAGACCACCUCUGAGUCUUUUCUCAAGGCUGACAGACCCAGGUCACUCAGCCUCUCCUCACAGGAAUAGCGUGGAUGAGGUUUUGUGAGAUGCUUCUGUGACUUUUGCUGAUCAGAAACAAUGAAGAAUUUCAGAAGAAUGAUUUACCUCAUCCAAAAUGAGAAUUCUGAUACUGUUUGAGGGGAAAUAAAAGCAAUUAGUAGUUCAAUCACUAGUUCCAUCACUGGUAUGCAAGCUAAUGAGACAACUCAUUCAUAUAUAUUUUCCACUAGACAGUGAUAAAUCUUUGUUUAAGGAGUUAUUUUAGCCUUUUGGUCAUUCUUCACUUCUUACUGAACUCAUCAGAAAGUUCAGCUAGUAAUAAUCAGGAUAAAUAGUACUGCUAGUCUCUUAAAAGCUUACAAAACUGUUGUUCCAGCUGAUCAGCCCUCUGGGAUGGUACUUCCAUUAUGUUCUGUUAUGUAGUAUCCAUUAUGUGUCUAGUACCGCUAGUAUGACAUUAAAAUUGAUUUUCCAUAUUGAUAAUCAAAAAAGAAAGAUAUUACUUUCCACAGUGCCUGUCUCUGACUGUUCAUUUUGGAAUGACCCACAGAAGUUGGAAUUCAUGUAUUCUGAUGCUCAAGAGAACAGUCCUGCCACUCUUCUAGUCAUGUUAUUCCCGUUUCUUUG
Molecule: long non-coding RNA, 1720 nt
Organism: Gallus gallus (chicken)
Lineage: Eukaryota; Metazoa; Chordata; Aves; Galliformes; Phasianidae
Source: Ensembl